RNAcentral lists this ribosomal RNA (42 nucleotides) under Struthio camelus (African ostrich). RNAcentral's name for it is "partial 16S ribosomal RNA". Lineage: Eukaryota; Metazoa; Chordata; Aves; Struthioniformes; Struthionidae. The record is from RNAcentral.
AAAGCAAAAGGCAGCAAGAUUAACCCUUUUCCUUUUGCCUCA